AUCACUCCACAAUGAGAUCUCACUUCCAAUUCCAAGCGAUUAAGCGAGAGAGCGAGCUAGAGAGUCCGAGGGAGUAGAGGAUCCCUAGGUUCCGUCGCUUGCGUCUCUGAGUAGAUGACAUUCGAGAAUGGAGCCCCAUGGCAAAAUACGAACCCUAAAUCAUUUUCAUUGCCUUGUCCGGAGCCGGAUCCGGAUCCGAACAAGGCAAUGAUUUAGGGUUUCGGAUGGUGCAAAGAGAAUAGUGAGAUCGUUGGUCUCUGCGUCGACGAUGAAGAUGACAACAAUCCAGAACGUAGCCAUGUCGCGCGGAUCAGGAUCUGUCUCAGAUUACGAUUCUAUUAUGGAGCUCGCCUCGUAUGAUGUGGUGGUUUGCCGGCCUUCUCGUCAAUGAUGCUUAUAAUGCAUGAAGUCUCACAUUUUGAUGUCCAGUCGUGCAUCCAAGCAGGUUAUCUUACCUGACGGUCAUGCAUCCACUUUUAGCACACCCAUUCUCUUUCCCACACCUUAGUUUAUCUCUUGGUCAUACAUUUAACUGAGCUCACUCAGCCUCAUUGACAUUCGAGUUUGGUUAUGGGAUGUUACAUUUUACAGAUGGGUUUCCUUCAAACAGUGUAGCAGUUGCUUAACUUUGUUUCACAGGCGUUUUUCAAAUUUCCGUUAUUGUUUGCAGUUUCUUUUCCGCAUUGCAUGGUCUCUGUUUGUGUGUGUGUGUGUGUGUGUCUCUCUCUCUCUCUCUCUCUCUCUCUCUCGUCUCAUCCGUCUCCUCUUAUCUACUUUCAUAUGUUCCGGUUGAGGCGGUAGGAAAAUGAAGGCAACGGAUGAAACCCAAAUGGGAAAGAGGAUUGGAGUUGAAGAACGGCUGGCAUGGUUUUUCCAA
Molecule: non-coding RNA, 877 nt
Organism: Prunus mume (Japanese apricot)
Lineage: Eukaryota; Viridiplantae; Streptophyta; Magnoliopsida; Rosales; Rosaceae
Source: RefSeq, a predicted model, not a curated record